GCUCGGUUUGUCUCAAUUUGGAGAAAUCGGGCAGAAAAAUUACUAAAUAAUUCAAGCUCCAGAGAUACUCUUGAAAUAAAGAAAGUAUAUGGGUUUCGAAUUUCAAGAUCAUUAUUGCAAGUCAAGCCAUUUUUCUAUUGUGUGCACGAGUGGUUUGUAUUCCUUUUGUCUGUUAAUGCUCUACCAAAUUUCAUUAUUUAAAUGCAUUAAGCAAUUUUAUUUUUUCCUUUUCUCAACUAGCGUACGCAGAAAGACAUGUUUGCUGCUUGCGGUGUCAACACAUGUAUUCACCUGCUACUAAUUGUUUGUAGGUUAAAACUGCGAAAAUACUGCAAGUGAAAUCAGUUUGUGGCUUCUGGGGCAGGUGCUGCUCUCUUAUACACCAGAUGAUGGGGCUUGUGCAGCAGUAGCAAGAACUAGUUGCGGGUUCCCGCUAGCCGCCCAUGGAACAAAGCCAUACUGUUCAAAUGUAAGCCUUAACUCUCAAUUAACGGGACAUAAUGAAACUUUGCAUAAAACUGCUAAUUGCAUUUCUUGAUUGAUGAACCGAGAUUCAGGGGUUAAUAGAUAAGAUGAGUUCACCUGGAGAAUGUUUCGAUUUGAUAAAUAAAUCAAUAAAUUAAAAUCAAUUUAAUAAUCAAAUCAAUAAAUUAGAAUUGAUUUAAUGAGGAAUUGAAAUUAGUUUAAAAAAGAGUAAAUAGAGAAAAUAAAUAAAAGUUAAUGAAUAAGGUGUUAAGUUUAUAAAGGUCAGGUAUAUUGAGGGAGAAAAAUGGUAAAUUGAGUGAGUGAGGAAUGUUUUAAAUUUAGGUUAAAUAUAUGUAUUGCGGUAAUUUGAUGAUUCAUCGAUUUUGGGCU
This 855-nucleotide long non-coding RNA is filed under the name Manihot esculenta (cassava). RNAcentral describes it as "long non-coding RNA (MESC_LNC000866)". The record is from RNAcentral. Lineage: Eukaryota; Viridiplantae; Streptophyta; Magnoliopsida; Malpighiales; Euphorbiaceae.